Molecule: non-coding RNA, 27 nt
Filed under: Mus musculus (house mouse)
Lineage: Eukaryota; Metazoa; Chordata; Mammalia; Rodentia; Muridae
Source: RNAcentral
CCACGCCUCUCUUUUCUCACUCUUCUC